GCUACGGGGGGGGGAGGGGGGGGGGGAGUACGGUGGGGUCAGGGGUUGGUCGGAAUGGCUGUGCUGAAAGGGUGGUUAGGGGGCGGCUUAAGUCCUAGGGGCAAUCCCGUCGCUGAACGGGGGAACUGCGUCUGAAACUGGGAGGCUCGAGUACCGGAGAGGAAGGUGGAAUGCCCGGUGUAGCGGUGAAAUGCGUAGAUAUCGGGAGGAACACCGGUGGCGAAGGCGGCCUUCUGGACGGAUACUGACGCUGUUACGCGAAAGCGUGGGGAGCAAACAGGAUUAGAUACCCGUGUCGUC
RNAcentral lists this ribosomal RNA (300 nucleotides) under uncultured Pyrobaculum sp. RNAcentral describes it as "partial 16S ribosomal RNA". The stretch from base 52 to 300 matches the Rfam family "Bacterial small subunit ribosomal RNA", at positions 547 to 795 of the family's 1533-position model. Lineage: Archaea; Thermoproteati; Thermoproteota; Thermoprotei; Thermoproteales; Thermoproteaceae. The record is from RNAcentral.